Long non-coding RNA from Mustela lutreola (European mink), 1357 nucleotides. RefSeq lists it as uncharacterized. The record is from RefSeq and is a predicted model, not a curated record. Lineage: Eukaryota; Metazoa; Chordata; Mammalia; Carnivora; Mustelidae. The transcript has 3 exons.
GAAGAGAAGUCAGGUACCAAUUCACAGAGAGGAAGGCUAUGAAGGAACCAGAAUACGGGAUUUGGAUUUUACUUAGAGGGUAACUGACAGCCAUGGAAGAAUCCUGCCCCGAGGACUUACACCACCUCCUUUUUCUAACAGCUCUUCAGUCUCCACUAUGGAUAAGCUAGGUGGGCAGAUGCUCCUGCGAAGAUCAAAGGAGAGAGGACAGCUGGCACUGGCACGGCGUUGACAGAGUUGGGGACACACAGAGUGGAGACAAGAGAGGCUGACUCUGGCAGAAAGGAGACAACACAGUUCUAUGCACCAGAAUUUCCAGGGUCCCCUCCAUGGCCUGGCUCUCGGUGGGAGGCAAACAAGAAAAAGACCUUGUGUGCGGAUGGAGAGCAGGGUAGAGCUGGUGCAGCAUGCCUGGGGGACAGUCACAGCAGAUGAACGGAGGCCGUUCAGCGGGAAACCUUGGUGGGAACCCAGAAGUAAACACGUCUUUGGGAGAGUCACACUGUGUGUUUCUCCUCCGCUUUGAUCCCACUGGUCGUGCCGAGCCUGCUGCCUGUCCCCUGCUGCAGAUGCCCAUCAUCCCUGGCUUCCCAAAUGUCCUCGCUCCUGUCCCGCCGGUGGAAACUAGGGACACGGGUCCAUCAUGUGUUUUUGUCAGUUCUGAAAUCUCAGCAGUAUGAAAACCAAAAUUCUGGGCAGAAAAAGCAUGGUGAACUUACAUGAGACAGUUUAUUGUUCAUUAAUUGCUCUUAGUGAGAAUGUCUGUACAUUUUGUGCCAAAAUACCGUUGUGUUUUGUUUCUGGUGCCGGCCCAGCCUUCACAGUGGGUGAGACUCAGCGAAUGUUACAUGCUCCCACGUACCUUUAGAUGAUCUAAAAAUCUCCUGAUCCAAAAACAGCGAGACUCAAGGGUUUCGAUGCGUUACCUUUGUUACCUAGGGGCAAAGUGGAACAGAUUGUACAGGUACUUAUGUGAGGGUCCAGCAGACAUUAUUAUCUUUCCUUAAUAUCAUAAAAGUCUGUUCAUGUAACCGCCAUGGAGAGUCACAACCCAAGCUCUUCCAUCACCGUGAGCAUCGUUCGUGUGGCUCUUUUAUAACCACAUCAACACACACAUCAAGUAAUUUUAUCCCAAAAUUGUGAUAGAAAGGAAACCUAACAUAAGAAGUCUUUCUAAAGUGGUUUUUUCACACACUCCCCUCCCCUGGAGACCCAUCCUGCUUGUUGUGUGGAUCAACAGCCUGUUCCUUCUAAUUGUUGAGUGACAUCCCUCAACAGGAACGUGUGACCGUCUGAUUGACCGUCCAUCUGGUGAAGAAUGUUUGGGGGCUUCUCAGUUGGGCUGUUACAAAUAAAA